GCAUUUCGUCACGUACCCUGCAGCAUCACCUACAAGAGCCACACGUUUGGAGAGCCUGCGAGGUCUCGGGUGUUCCGGGAUCGGGUGAGCCUCGACGCGGAUGAUCUUGCCUCCAAGAAUCUUGUCUUUGGCUCUGUUACGAGUAGCAAGCUGGAACUUCUUGAUGUCACCUUUGUGAGUAACAGUGCCUGUUCCAACAGCUACAUGGUCGCAUUUCGGGAAAACCCAGCCGUAGAAAUCCGGCGACACGUCAUCUCCGACGUACA
This 266-nucleotide long non-coding RNA is filed under the name Eutrema salsugineum. RNAcentral's name for it is "long non-coding RNA (ESAL_LNC000038)". The record is from RNAcentral. Lineage: Eukaryota; Viridiplantae; Streptophyta; Magnoliopsida; Brassicales; Brassicaceae.